AAACUGCCUUCUUCCCAGUGAAUUCCUUUCGCUUCAAUUACUUCAGGCUUGAAGGAUGACACGAGUUUUUCUGAAGAUUUGGUUUAAAGAAUUGCUGUGCUUGCAUGAUGACACCGAGG
Nicotiana tabacum (common tobacco) is the source of this 119-nucleotide non-coding RNA. NCBI's taxonomy places the organism in Eukaryota, Viridiplantae, Streptophyta, Magnoliopsida, Solanales, Solanaceae. The record is from RefSeq and is a predicted model, not a curated record.